Molecule: ribosomal RNA, 280 nt
Rfam family: Archaeal small subunit ribosomal RNA
UGCGGCUCAGAGACCGGUUGAUCCUGCCGGAGGGAACCCCUAUCGGGCUCGGACUAAGUCAUGCAAGUCUGCCGAAGGCCCCCGCCUUCGGCGGCGAACGGCUCCGUAAUACGCGGUCAACCUACCCUGGGGAGGGGGAUAACCUCUGGAAACCGAGGCUAAUCCCCCAUAGGGACGAAGUGCUGAGAUGCCUUCGUCCCGAAAGUAGGCGGAGGGGUUAUGGCUCCGCCAAGGCCCCAGGAUGGGACCGCGGCCCAUCAGGUAGUAGGUGGGGUAACGG